UUAUGCGGGCAUGCUUACACAUGCAGUCGAACGGCAGCACGGGUGCUUGCACCUGGUGGCGAGUGGCGAACGGGUGAGUAAUACAUCGGAACAUGUCCUGUAGUGGGGGAUAGCCCGGCGAAAGCCGGAUUAAUACCGCAUACGAUCUCUGGAUGAAAGCGGGGGACCUUCGGGCCUCGCGCUAUAGGGUUGGCCGAUGGCUGAUUAGCUAGUUGGUGGGGUAAAGGCCUACCAAGGCGACGAUCAGUAGCUGGUCUGAGAGGACGACCAGCCACACUGGGACUGAGACACGGCCCAGACUCCUACGGGAGGCAGCAGUGGGGAAUUUUGGACAAUGGGCGAAAGCCUGAUCCAGCAAUGCCGCGUGUGUGAAGAAGGCCUUCGGGUUGUAAAGCACUUUUGUCCGGAAAGAAAUCCUUGGCCCUAAUACGGUCGGGGGAUGACGGUACCGGAAGAAUAAGCACCGGCUAACUACGUGCCAGCAGCGGCCGGUAAU
Molecule: ribosomal RNA, 496 nt
Filed under: Burkholderia sp. HE75B
Lineage: Bacteria; Pseudomonadati; Pseudomonadota; Betaproteobacteria; Burkholderiales; Burkholderiaceae
Description: bacterial SSU rRNA
Rfam family: Bacterial small subunit ribosomal RNA
Source: RNAcentral